UCUUAGUGGCGGACGGGUGAGUAACGCGUGGGUAACCUGCCUUAUACAGGGGGAUAACACUUAGAAAUAGGUGCUAAUACCGCAUAAGCGCACGGGGCUGCAUGGCCCAGUGUGAAAAACUCCGGUGGUAUACGAUGGUUCCGCGUCUGAUUAGCUAGUUGGUGGGGUAAUGGCCUACCAAGGCAACGAUCAGUAGCCGGCCUGAGAGGGUGAACGGCCACAUUGGGACUGAGACACGGCCCAAACUCCUACGGAAGGCAGCAG
RNAcentral lists this ribosomal RNA (264 nucleotides) under uncultured bacterium. Its description in RNAcentral is "partial 16S ribosomal RNA". It matches the Rfam family "Bacterial small subunit ribosomal RNA", at positions 90 to 354 of the family's 1533-position model. The record is from RNAcentral.